CACUUCUCUCCACUCAGUUUGUGUGAGUUUCACAACUAGACUAUUUAAAAACGUAAAAACAUAACUAUUGAUAUAAAUUUAAUCAAUAGUUGAUAUUGUUUACUACCAACAUAAUUCCACUUUCUACGACAGGUCUUAUAUGUUGAGCCAAGAGGGGGAGUCUCAUUGGGUUAGAUCAUAACAUUGUGCUAAGAGCAACUAUUCAAGCGAGUUGGUCAUCUUCACAAAAACUUUAAGACAUUAAGUUUAUGA
This 252-nucleotide long non-coding RNA is filed under the name Medicago truncatula (barrel medic). RNAcentral's name for it is "long non-coding RNA (MTRU_LNC001142)". Lineage: Eukaryota; Viridiplantae; Streptophyta; Magnoliopsida; Fabales; Fabaceae. The record is from RNAcentral.